UAAUCUGGACUUCAGAGCAUGACUUUGACCACUCAUAGGAAACUGUUACAACAAUUGGAAUGCACAAAUGCCCAAACCCUAUGAACAUGAGCAUGGCUGGGGUUGGUGUACUGGACAGACAUAGAUCCCUCUGGAGAGUUGCACAACCACAGACUUCUCCACCAAGAGUAGGAACUGCCUUCCAUUGUGAAGUCUCUUAUUGGUACAGCAAGAACCAAAACAUGUACUAGAAUAUUCUGUAGUUAAUCCUAUAGAGAAAACAAUGGAACUUAAAUCUACGAAUAUUUCAUUUACAAAUAUGGUUUUAGUAGAUGAGAGAUAUACACAAACCACAUCAUCAGGACACAGAAAAAAACUAGUUUGCCUCAAGAAGCUGUAAGUAGUGAAAGGAAGGAGCCUCAGCAGAUACCUUGAAAAAACCGGUGGCAAGAACAGUAUCUUCAAAUGCUAAUAAAGGCUGAGAAGCACUGGAAUGGGUCAUACAUAAAUUACAUGUUAAUAUUGAAGAAUUGACAGCUUCCAAAAGAGGAAGCCUAAGAAUUCUGAUGGUGGCUGCAGAAUUUGUAAAGAA
This 571-nucleotide long non-coding RNA is filed under the name Homo sapiens (human). RNAcentral's name for it is "non-protein coding lnc-SELENOP-3:2". The record is from RNAcentral. Lineage: Eukaryota; Metazoa; Chordata; Mammalia; Primates; Hominidae.